GACGAACGCUGGCGGCGUGCUUAACACAUGCAAGUCGAACGGAAAGGCCCUGCUUUUGUGGGGUGCUCGAGUGGCGAACGGGUGAGUAACACGUGAGUAACCUGCCCUUGACUUUGGGAUAACUUCAGGAAACUGGGGCUAAUACCGGAUAGGAGCUCCUGCUGCAUGGUGGGGGUUGGAAAGUUUCGGCGGUUGGGGAUGGACUCGCGGCUUAUCAGCUUGUUGGUGGGGUAGUGGCUUACCAAGGCUUUGACGGGUAGCCGGCCUGAGAGGGUGACCGGCCACAUUGGGACUGAGAUACGGCCCAGACUCCUACGGGAGGCAGCAGUGGGGAAUAUUGCACAAUGGGCGGAAGCCUGAUGCAGCAACGCCGCGUGCGGGAUGACGGCCUUCGGGUUGUAAACCGCUUUCGCCUGUGACGAAGCGUGAGUGACGGUAAUGGGUAAAGAAGCACCGGCUAACUACGUGCCAGCAGCCGCGGUGAUACGUAGGGUGCGAGCGUUGUCCGGAUUUAUUGGGCGUAAAGGGCUCGUAGGUGGUUGAUCGCGUCGGAAGUGUAAUCUUGGGGCUUAACCCUGAGCGUGCUUUCGAUACGGGUUGACUUGAGGAAGUUAGGGGAGAAUGGAAUUCCUGGUGGAGCGGUGGAAUGCGCAGAUAUCAGGAGGAACACCAGUGGCGAAGGCGGUUCUCUGGGCCUUUCCUGACGCUGAGGAGCGAAAGCGUGGGGAGCGAACAGGCUUAGAUACCCUGGUAGUCCACGCUGUAAACGGUGGGUACUAGGUGUGGGGUCCAUUCCACGGGUUCCGUGCCGUAGCUAACGCUUUAAGUACCCCGCCUGGGGAGUACGGCCGCAAGGCUAAAACUCAAAGGAAUUGACGGGGCCCCGCACAAGCGGCGGAGCAUGCGGAUUAAUUCGAUGCAACGCGUAGAACCUUACCUGGGUUUGACAUGGAUCGGGAGUGCUCAGAGAUGGGUGUGCCUCUUUUGGGGUCGGUUCACAGGUGGUGCAUGGCUGUCGUCAGCUCGUGUCGUGAGAUGUUGGGUUAAGUCCCGCAACGAGCGCAACCCUUGUUCACUGUUGCCAGCACGUUAUGGUGGGGACUCAGUGGAGACCGCCGGGGUCAACUCGGAGGAAGGUGGGGAUGACGUCAAGUCAUCAUGCCCCUUAUGUCCAGGGCUUCACGCAUGCUACAAUGGCUGGUACAGAGAGUGGCGAGCCUGUGAGGGUGAGCGAAUCUCGGAAAGCCGGUCUCAGUUCGGAUUGGGGUCUGCAACUCGACCUCAUGAAGUCGGAGUCGCUAGUAAUCGCAGAUCAGCAACGCUGCGGUGAAUAAGUUCCCGGG
Molecule: ribosomal RNA, 1343 nt
Filed under: uncultured bacterium
Lineage: Bacteria
Description: 16S ribosomal RNA
Rfam family: Bacterial small subunit ribosomal RNA
Source: RNAcentral